AGAUAUGAUAAUAUGGCAAAUCGAUGGAUAUUUUUCUUUGCUACAGCCGAAAUUAAAUAGUAUGUAAAACUUGAUGAUCCAGCGGUCAACUCCAACAGAGCUAAUAUUUUUUACGCUACUUGCCCAUAAUACAGUGUGAAAAAUAGCGAUCUAUUUAAUCGAUGAAAUUUAUCAUUUAUUAAUGAAUUAUUUCUUAUGCAAUUGAUAUUAUAUCUUUUAUUGCAAAGGUAGGCAAUAAAGACUGGUUUAGAGCCACGCAAAUGAUAGUGUAAAAAAAGAAACAUGCUCCUUGUGUAUAUUACUUCUAGCAAUGGAGGUACAAACUUUUCAGUUUUGAAUAAAAACGGAAUGUAAGAACCAAUGGGGAACGAAAACAAUAAAAUAAAAUUCUGGGAAGAAGAAAUUUAGAAAUGAAUAGCACGACUGACUCAAUUCUUUGGCAAGAACUUGACCGGAACGAGCUGAAUAUAAACAAACAGCACGAUUUAAAUUUUGUCCUCUAAUUAUGUCUUUUCAGUAAAGCAUGUAUGAGGUUUACACAAUAUGUCUAUUUAAAAAGAAGGCAUUAAAACUCAACUUCUAGGCAAAAUGGAAUAGCUCAAAACAAUAGCUAAACCUCAAAGUGUAUUAGUGUAGCAAUCCGGCCAUCCAUAGACAAAAAAGAAAGCCAGGAAUUAUUAAAGAUAUUUGUGGAACUUUAAAACGUCAACAGAUGGUUUGGAAU
Molecule: non-coding RNA, 724 nt
Organism: Schizosaccharomyces pombe (fission yeast)
Lineage: Eukaryota; Fungi; Ascomycota; Schizosaccharomycetes; Schizosaccharomycetales; Schizosaccharomycetaceae
Source: the annotation of a GenBank genome assembly